GUAGGGAAUAUUGGGCAAUGGAUGCAAGUCUGACCCAGCCAUCCCGCGUGCCGGAAGAAGGCCCUCAGGGUUGUAAACGGCUUUUGACGGUGAAGAAUCGACAGGAUGCGUCCUGUUUUGACGGUAGCCGUUGAAUAAGCACCGGCUAACUCCGUGCCAGCAGCCGCGGUAAUACGGAGGGUGCGAGCGUUGUCCGGAUUUAUUGGGUUUAAAGGGUGCGUAGGCUGGAAGGCCAGUCAGCGGUGAAAAGCUGUCGCUUAACGAUAGUCUUGCCGCAGAUACUUCCUUUCUUGGAUGAGGAGGAGGCCACUGGAACGGAUGGUGUAGCGGUGAAAUGCAUAGAUAUCAUCCAGAACACCGAUUGCGAAGGCAGGUGGCUGUACCUUAAUCGACGCUGAUGCACGAAAGCAUGGGGAGCAAACAGGAUUAGAAACCCCUGUAGUCC
Molecule: ribosomal RNA, 445 nt
Filed under: uncultured bacterium
Lineage: Bacteria
Description: partial 16S ribosomal RNA
Rfam family: Bacterial small subunit ribosomal RNA
Source: RNAcentral